GAUGUCACGUUCUUCAGUAUCGAACAGCAAAUGCUUUAAAAGUAACUCGUCACCGGAAACACGAAGAUGAAUUUUUGUUUUGUCUGCAAAAAUCAUGUCCUAACAAUUCAGCAAAGUGUCAAUAAAUUAAAAAUCUAUUCAAAGUUGCCAAAAAUGUGAAACUCGCCAUUCAUUCAUCCGCCAUCCAUCCAUCCAUCCAUGCAUACGUACAUGUAUGUACCUAGUUUUUAAUCAGUAUGCAUGCACGCUGUGCUACAUAGCCGGCUCAUCUGGUCAUUAUCAUCAACAAUACGGAUGACCAUCGAUGGUGAUGACAAUGCUGUGGCUUACACAUUAUUGAUAGCAGUUAUAUUUAAUUGUAGUUAGUUUAGUAAAUAAUUUAACUUAAUCCACUUCCCGUCAAUGUCCAUAAGCAUAUUUCGAAACAUUCGGCGGAGGGAUAUGAAUUUCCUGUUGUCGAUUGUGGAUGAAUUGAAUGUGUCCUCCGGUUUCCUUUUCCCUUUCCUGCCUGCAUUCGCCAUAUUACGGAUGUUGCAAGUAGCCACAUCCAAUUGGGACAUUUUUAAUAGUGAAACUAUCCCGAUUAGUCUCUACAUUCAUAAUUGUGACACUACUUGGAACACUUCCUCGCUCAGCGCAGCUCCUCUCAAAGUUUCCACCAACUUUCUGCUAAAUUUCCACAAAAUCUGGGCUCCAUGUGCAGCAAAAAGUGAAAUUGAAAAAGUGAGUGAAAAGUGUAACAGCACAAAAUCGAGUGGCGAAAGUGAUCAAGCAGAAGAAGAAAGUUGUGGGAAACCAUGUUGGAUAUUUACCGUCUUCUCGAUUUACAUAUGUGCAUACUCAUCAUUGAGUAUUUAUCACCUCCCCGUUUUCAUAAAAAAAUAAACUGUAUGGAUUCCUUACACAUAUGGUUAGCAAGUCAAUUACUUGAAUACCAAGGAACCACUCACUCUAGACGAGACUAGUGAUAAAACCACAUACUAAAUAAAUACGCACUAUAUGUUAAACACGUACGUGUGUAAGUGCAGUUGAAUUUGAAAAGGAUCAACUUUUCCACGAGCAGCAGUAAGUAAGCCGACGAAGCAAAAAGGAACCAGAUCUUUAUUGUUGGUGUGUGCAAUGAGGUUAAAAGAUGGAAAUGAUAGGAGCCGAGGGUGAAGCUAGUACAUAGAAAAGGAUGUCGUCGUGGAUGGAUCGAUGAAACUACGAUGCGACAAAUGACAAAGCGUUGGAUAAAAAUGGGAAAGAAGAUGAGAUCCAAGUGGCGCAAGGGAUGAUCGGAUAGGGUGGAAAAGUAACAUGUGGCGAGUGCCUUUGGAUUCACCACCACCAGAUCAAACCCAUUUUUUAAGAUGUUUUGCCGAGGGAGAGAUUGAAGAGAGAUGAGCAAAAGUACCCCCAUCGCAUCGUCCACCCUUCUUAUCGUGCCAUUACCACAUAUAAUACGAGCUAGAGGAUAGAUUCAUUUCUAGCACGUGCGGAGCGGUUCAAGAAGAAGUAGAAGAAAUGUAGACCAAGUCCAACGCAAUCAUCACCAGCUACACCACCCGUUCUUCCAACGACUACCUAAUCCGCACCACCAAAAGCCAACAUCACCUCAUCAUCUCCGUCUUCUUUCUUGGCGAGAAGGGUUGCUGGGGAUGUCAUGGACUUGUGGACAAGAAUCCAUGGACCGAAGACGACAUGAGAUGAGUCAACCCUUGGCUAAUGUGUCUUUCAUUCCAAAAGUGAGACACCUGCUCCUGCUCUAAUUUCCACCAGCCUUUGAAAAUAGCUACCACAGUUUUCAAGGGAAUUUAACUCAACGGUGGAUGGACCGCAUCUUGAAAAACAUGUUCUCUGGCAAAACCGCAUCACAGAUGGUCCAGUCGUCCAUACAUAUCUCUAGAAGAAUAAUGCGUAAGACAAGGACUUGGGGGGAAUUUUAUCCAUUACAAAACUCCUUGCCCGCCUGGAGGACUGCCACAACCAAGAAUUAUUGAGAUGUUGAGAUGGCGAAAGGUGGUUGCAUUAUUUCCAAUUCAAAAGUCCACAAGAGGAACAGCGAGUGGACCACCUCACCAACAAACGGAGAGAAAUAAUAAUAAUAAUGCCCACUCUGACAAUAAUCAACGAUGAAGCAACAGAUGUAGAUUCACCAGCACGAGUGUGCUGCAUACAUAUGCAAUUAAGGCUACACCACGGAUCCCUUCUUAUUAACCGAAAGAAAUGAAAUGGAAAAUGAGCCGCACGAGUCAUGACUUAUGAAUUUAUACGAGAGAGACACCGUUGCUGCUGCAUUGCUGUGCUGUCGGUUCAGUUAAAUGUCUGGAGGUCUCAAGGUGCAGAUGAGCAACAACUGAACAACAGGCACACCACUGCACUGCGGUUUGGCCACUACAUCUCAUGUCCCAGAGCAACUACACCAAAUCGUUUUACGAAAAGAAUCCGCGGACUUGACCGUGCACAAAAAGAGGCUGCGACAUGUAGCAUCUUGGGAUUGAAUGGGAAGCGUCGUCAGGUAAAAUGGACCAUUAGUCGUUGUUGUGUGGUGUGGGUACAUGUGCUGCAACGAAACCACUGCCAUCACUCAAAAUUUAAGAUUCGAUAUGAUAUGAUAUGAUUAUCUCUAAUGUCAAGCUGAACUCGGACAAAAAAUGGGACGAGUUGUCGAAUAAAAAAUUAAAAGACUGAAUGAA
Long non-coding RNA from Folsomia candida, 2678 nucleotides. RefSeq lists it as uncharacterized. The transcript is spliced from 6 exons. The record is from RefSeq and is a predicted model, not a curated record. Lineage: Eukaryota; Metazoa; Arthropoda; Collembola; Entomobryomorpha; Isotomidae.